GAAAGUAAGCAAGGGCGUACGGAGGAUGCCUAGGCUUCUGGAGGCGAAGAAGGACGUGUUAAGCUGCGAUAAGCCUCGGGGAUUAGCAAAAAUGAUUUGAUCCGAGGAUUUCCGAAUGGGGCAACCCGUCAGGUAGAAGGCCUGACACAUCGCAAGAUGAGCUAACCCGCUGAACUGAAACAUCUAAGUAGGCGGAGGAAGAGAAAGAAACAUCGAUUUCCUGAGUAGCGGCGAGCGAAAGGGAAAGAGCCCAAACCUAGAUUGUUACGGCAAUUUAGGGGUUGUAGGACUGCAGAACUCAAUACAAACGAACAAGAAUUACCUGGAAAGGUAAACCAUAGAGGGUGAAAGUCUCGUAUUGGUAAGUUAUGUAAGCGGUAGCAGUAUCCUGAGUAUGGCGGGACACGAGGAAUCCUGUCAGAAUCUGCGGGGACCACCCCGUAAGGCUAAAUACUCCCAGAAGACCGAUAGUGGACCAGUACCGUGAGGGAAAGGUGAAAAGUACUCCGAACAGGAGAGUGAAAAAGACCCUGAAACCGUACGCUUACAACCGGUCGGAGCGGCUUCGUGCCGUGACGGCGUGCCUUUUGCAUAAUGAGCCUACGAGUUACUAAUCACUAGCGAGGUUAAGGGCUUAUAAGUCCGGAGCCGAAGCGAAAGCGAGUCUGAAUAGGGCGUAUAGUUAGUGGUUGUAGACGCGAAACCUUGCGAUCUACCCAUGAGCAGGAUGAAGGUUGGGUAAUACCAACUGGAGGUCCGCACCAGUAAACGUUGAAAAGUUUUUGGAUGACUUGUGGGUAGGGGUGAAAGGCUAAUCAAGCUGGGAAAUAGCUCGUACUCCCCGAAAUGCUUUUAGGAGCAGCGUUGAAACAGUCUACUGGAGGUAGAGCUACUGAUUGGAUGCGGGGGCUUCACCGCCUACCAAAUCCUGACAAACUCCGAAUGCCAGUAGUAUGAUUUUCAGCAGUGAGCCGUCGGGUGCUAAUGUCCGGCGACAAAAGAGGAACAACUCAGACCAUCAGCUAAGGCCCCCAAACAUACACUAAGUUGAACUAACGAUGUGCGACUGCAGCGACAGCUAGGAUGUUAGCUUGGAAGCAGCUAUUCAUUUAAAGAGUGCGUAACAGCUCACUAGUCGAGCGGUUGUGCGUGGAUAAUAAACGGGCAUCAAGUGUAUUGCCGAAGCUAUGGGAUCGAAAGAUCGGUAGGGGAGCAUUCCAUCGACGUAGAAGUUGGGUCGUAAGGCCUGGUGGAGUUUAUGGAAAAGCAAAUGUAGGCAUAAGUAACGAUAAGGCGGGAGAGUAACCCGCCCACCGCAAGACCAAGGUUUCCUGAUCAACGUUAAUCGGAUCAGGGUUAGUCGGGACCUAAGGGUAAGCCGAAAGGUGAUCUCGAUGGACAAUCGGUUAAUAUUCCGAUACUAGCAUAUACUGCGAUGGAGGGACGGAGAAGCGUAAGCUACGCGAACUGACGGAAUAGUUCGUUAAAGAGUUUAGGUAUAUUUAGACGUUAAUAGCGUUUAGAUGCUGAAGCUUGACAGUACCAAGCGGCUACGGCCAAUUGGAUAGUUAGCCCAAGCAGACUUCCGAGAAAAACUUCUAAGCUUCAGGUAUAUGGUACCCGUACUGUAAACCGACACAGGUGGUCGAGGAGAGUAUCCUCAGGUGCUUGAGUGAAUCACGGAUAAGGAACUAGGCAAAUUAACCCCGUAACUUCGGGAAAAGGGGUCCCUACGCGAGUAGGGCGCAGCGAAGAGGUCCAGGCGACUGUUUAUCAAAAACACAGGGCUCUGCAAAUUCGAAAGAAGACGUAUAGGGCCUGACACCUGCCCGGUGCUGGAAGGUUAAGAGGGGAUGUCAUCGCAAGAGAAGCAUUGAAUCGAAGCCCCAGUAAACGGCGGCCGUAACUAUAACGGUCCUAAGGUAGCGAAAUUCCUUGUCGGGUAAGUUCCGAC
Molecule: ribosomal RNA, 1954 nt
Filed under: human gut metagenome
Description: bacterial LSU rRNA
Rfam family: Bacterial large subunit ribosomal RNA
Source: RNAcentral